UCCCACGAUUUUCUCAGUUUAAUUGAUAUCAAACUUUCUCCCGUCUCCAUAUUCAUUUUCAAUCUGUACUUUGAAAUCUACUCCAAUUCUGCAGAAACCGAAUUAUAAAAAAGAAAUCAUCAAAACUUCAUAACCCUUUUUCCUCACUCUUAUCUCAUCCUCUUAUUCCACCACUGCCUCGAUUCACCCCAUCACUCUGCUCGAUGUUUGCUCAUCAAAGUAUAAUGAAAACUCAGCCACCAUUCACUGAGAUUAGGGAGAGGGAAGACUAGAAUCAGGAGAAGAUGUGAGAAUCAGAUGAGAGGGAGUUGUCAGGUCGCGGGUUUGUUAUUGUCGACGGCGGGUUGAUGGCUGCGACAUUGAUUUUCAGCAGCAACUAAUAGCCGGAAAUUUAGAAGUGAAAGGGAAAAAAAUAUGAGAGAAUGGUUAUUUGUUCAACGGGAUUGAGAGAAAAAGAGAAACGGGUAGAUAUAUGAGAAAUGAGAUUUCUCCCCCACCUAUUAUCAGCAACCUAAUUGCAAAAGAAUAUACCCAAACUUCGAACCCUUUUCCUCACCCAAUUCUCCUCUUUUGCCAAUUCUACCACCACAUGGGCGACCCGUUCUCUGACGGAGACUCAUCUGUCAUUUGUUCAUCAAAAUCUGAUGGAGAUGCAAUCGCCGCCUUUGCCGCGCCGCCUCGAACUAACGUCGCCCAAAACUCAGGCUGGCCUACGGCCUCGCGCCGCCUCCAAAGCGCAAGAGCAAACCUAGCAACCUGGAGCAAUUUUAUUUCUCAUAGAUGGCGAUGGUUCCUGGGCAGCUGAUAUGGGAGAUCGCAAGAACCAAUUCGCUUCUGGUGAAGCAAUUCGGGAAUGGAACCACAAGUGUGAAUUCAGCAAGGAGCCUAACAAUCUCUAUAACUUGCACUUCUACAAGCACUCUGGCAAUUCAUUGAUAUUGAUUUAAAUGGAUCUCCAAUAACUAGAGUGUCAAAGCCCUAUGUAGAAAGACCACAAGAACCAGAUGCAUGGCAUGACGUAUCUCUGCCAUGUGGCAUGAGAUUUAUGCUUAUUGAUUUUUUAGGUCUCGAGGCUACACCAAGGAAGAAGGCAACAUCUACCUCUACUUAAAUUGGAUAGCAACAAUGUAGCAUAUUUUGACGCUCCACAAUGCUACUAAAGUUAUAAAAGGUAUGUAUAUUUCAAGUAUUUUCUUACUUAUUGACUAUAUAUAUAUAUAUUGUGUUAUGUAGUGGCUUUGAGAGUUUAUGUAGGAUCUCAUUGUUGAAAUAGUUCAAUAUGAUUUUGAAUAUAGAAUUAAGUGCUAAGUGAUGAUGAGAUUCAUGUGGUUCUUGCUAUAGAAUUAUAGAACUUUUUAUUUCAAAUUUUCGAUAUGUGUAGAACCAAAUGGAUAAAGUAAUGGGUGCUCUAAUGUUACAGAAUUAAUAGAGUUUUUAAUCAUUCUUUCAGUUGUAUAUUUUACUAAUUUUUUUUUUCUACUUUAUGAAUUCAGGAUUGUUUUUUUUUAAGAAAUGAAUUUACGGUUAUUGAUAUAUUUAUUUCUUGAUGCUAUUGAGAUUAUUUUGAAUUAUGAAUGAAAACAAUUUUAAGAUAAUUUAUUUUCCACUCACAGUUGAAUUAGUUUGUGAUCUUGGUGACUUUGUUUAUGGUCUCCCCCGUAUAUUGUACAAUCAUUUUAUGUAGGUAAGAUCUAUGCAAAAGGAUAGAUAUAAAUGGUUAUAGGAAUGCAGAAGAAAAUACGUUGGAGAAACUUGAAGAUGAGAGUUGAAGCAGAUGGAGAAAGAGAAAAAAACCAUGAUUUACUACAUGUAGAGUAAUUUAAGAAAUGAGUUACAUAAGAAUAUUAAUUUUUA
Molecule: RNA transcript, 1854 nt
Organism: Salvia miltiorrhiza (redroot sage)
Lineage: Eukaryota; Viridiplantae; Streptophyta; Magnoliopsida; Lamiales; Lamiaceae
Exons: 5
Source: RefSeq, a predicted model, not a curated record